UUGUAGUCAAUUAAGAUGACCAGCCCUCAUGGGUGUAUAAAGCAACUGACUGGUUGAGUGACGCACUUUGUCCUCCCCUGUGCAAAGUGCUCCAAGGGACCACUGAGAUAUUG
Small nucleolar RNA from Callorhinchus milii (elephant shark), 113 nucleotides. Its record names the gene SNORA70. It matches the Rfam family "Small nucleolar RNA SNORA70". From Rfam's summary of the family: snoRNA U70 seems to be exclusive to mammals and is a member of the H/ACA class of snoRNA which contain H (ANANNA) and ACA box motifs. H/ACA box snoRNAs are involved in the conversion of uridines to pseudouridines (5-ribosyluracil) a constituent of structural RNAs (transfer, ribosomal, small nuclear, and small nucleolar). The record is from Ensembl. Lineage: Eukaryota; Metazoa; Chordata; Chondrichthyes; Chimaeriformes; Callorhinchidae.